Molecule: long non-coding RNA, 4197 nt
Filed under: Sus scrofa (pig)
Lineage: Eukaryota; Metazoa; Chordata; Mammalia; Artiodactyla; Suidae
Description: lncRNA (ENSSSCG00060075742.1)
Source: RNAcentral
ACACACAGACACAAUUCAUCUUCUUGCCAGGAUUGACAGGUGCUGUUUUGAUAAGCACGGGAACCAUCAGUUCAAGGUAUCAGUCUUUAGACCAAGUAGAGUUUAGAUGAGCAGAAUCUUUUAAUUUGUUGAGAAUUGUGAGAAUGACAGUUGCACACAGUUCCUUUUUAUUUUAUUUUUUUUUUUUAUUCUUUCCCUCUUCAUUUGUACCAUUUCUGUAUCUAAAACAAUAAAAGAGUUAGAUGUGUCUCUAGUACGGGGCUUUGGCUGUAGAAACUACACAGGGCAUUUGGUCCCACUUUGAGCAGUUGUCCUUUUAGACUCACAUGAAUUAAGGAAAUCCAAAAAUACAAAACAAGCUCCAGCUGAAUUUAAAUUCCAGGUUUCUGAGUCUAGGAACUUCAGGGACCUAAGAGGAUACCUAAAGAUUCAGAUGUAUUCUAUGGACAUCAGCUGUAAAAAAGUGCCUUCUUUUUAAUACUUAACAAUUUUUUAAUUCUUCAUUUAAUAUUUGGCUACAGUCGCCACCGAAAUAAUGUUACAUAUUUGGAGACUCCAUUGAGCUCUGGAAUAUCUGCUAGGUUAUUUUCUUUCUUGUUUAUUUCAUAAAACUAUUCCUUCGUCUGUUCAGAAGUUUCUUUUGGAACUGCAGGUGUGUGUUGAAAGCCAGAUGUAAAUUAAAUUACAACAUAUGCAGAAGGGAUCCCUUACAGAUGGAAAAUGCAUAUUUUCAGCUGACCUACUCCUCAGGUAACAAUGGGUGGGAGUAAAAUAUUUAUUGUAGACUAUGUAAUUACCAUUUUAUUAUUAUUUUUUAAAGCUUCAAAAUUGUAAUCAAACAGCAUUCAUGGGAUUGAGUUGCAGAAAAAGAGGAAUUGGAGGGAAAUUUUCAAUCAGAAGCAAGUUCAUUGAGAAAUAGGUUUAGGAACUUUCACCCAAGACGGCAGGUGUCAGUCAAGAAUAUAAUUCAGGGAAUCAAACUAUAAUCUGGAAAAUGGAGAGUCCACAUAAAAUUUUAUUCUACAAUCUGAGAAGAUUUAUUUUAUUUUAAUGACCAUCACUGGAUAGCUGUUUGGCCAGUUGUGCUGAGUAUACUGCAUAGAGUUUCCUGUGCUCCACAGAGGUCACUGGGAGGAUGUGACUGCUGGUUGACCCAUGAGCUGGAACCAGGCACUUGGAGGCUCCUCACCCCCACCUCUGUUCUUGGAAUGAAUAUCCUGCCCACAUUACUCACAGCCAAAGUCUUUUUCAAGAAUGUGGCCUGGAGAGAGCAACGCAUUGUUGAGAACCUCUGAAUAGUAGAUAUGGCUGAAGCUCAUGAAGGCCUCUAUAUAAACUUUUAAGAUUCUGGUGGGCCAUGCAGAGAUCUGUUCAUCUCGUGGCUGCCCAAGACAAGCCUCAGAAUACCUUGACUUCUGAGACUCUGGUUGGAAGCUUUACGUUAUUGCCUUCUGCUCAGGGAUCUACCUUCACUGAAAAUCGGUAAAUGCCGCCAGGAAAAAGCAGUAAAGAAUGUCAGGAUGUUGACCUUCUCCUAGGGAUCUGGGAGUAAUACAACUAAACUUGUUAUAGCUGGAAAUAAUAGCACCUCCCUCCUGAGUAUUUCGUUAUUUCUCUGAAUUAACACGUACCUUUUUUUUUUUUUUUUUUAAACUGCGUUCUUUUGUUAGUCUAUGAACUUCUGGAAAACGGGUGACUCCCUUUCACUUUAAAUGGCUUGAUUGAGACAAAAUUCACUGUCUGUAAAAGUACCCAUUGUAAGUGUACAGUGAUUUUUACUAAAUUUGUAAACCUGAUAACCACACCACAAUCAAGUUUUAGCAUAGUUCUAUCACCCCCAAAAGUCCCCUCAUGACUAUUUACAGUUAAUACUUGCUGCCAUCCUGGCCCUGGGCAGCCAUUGAUGUGCCUACUAUCCCUACAGAUUUACCUUUUGUAGAUUUUUAACGUAAAGGGAAUCAUGCUAUGUGUGGCCUUCUGCGCCUGGCUUCUGUGCCUUAGUAUAUAAUGUUUUUUGAAGUUCAUUUAUGUAGUAACAGAUAGUCGUUUUUAUCUUUUUUUUCUGAGUAAUAUUCCAUUGCAUAAAUAUGCAACAUUUUGUUUAUCGACUUACCUGUUCAUUAGGAUUGCUUUUAGUUUUUGGCUAUUAUGAAUAAUGCUUCUGUUGACAUUCAUAUAUAUGUCUUUGUGUGAACAUGUUUUCCAUUCAUGUUGGGUAAAUUUCUAGCAAGGAAUUGCUGAGUUAUAUGAAAGGUGAUGGUUAGCUUAAAAAAAAAAAAUCACCAAAUUGUUUCACAAAGUAGUGGCACAGUUUUACAUUUCAUUACCAAUGUAUGAAGGUUUUCCACAUUUUCAGUGACAUUUUUAGUUUCACAUGUACAGCAAUGUGAUUCAGUUUUAUAUACAUAUAUGUAUAUUUAUAUACAUAUGUAUUCUUUUCAGAUUCUUUUCCCUUAGACGUUAUUACAAAAUAAUGAGUAUAGUUCCCUGUGAUGUACCCAAAUCCUGUUGGUUAUCUAUUUUAUAUGUCGCAGUGUGUAUAUGUUAAUCCAAAACUCCUAAUUUUUACCUCCCUCCCCCUUUCCCCUUUGUAACCAUAAGUAUGUUUUCUAUGUUUGUGGCUCUAUUUCUGUUUUGUAUAUAAGGUCAUUUGUGUGUGUGUCUCUCUCUCUUUUUUUAGAUUCUACAUAUAAGUGAUAUCAUGUGAUAUUUGUUUUUGUCUGGCUUACUUCACUUAGUAUGAUAAUCUCUGGGUCCAUCAUGUUGUCCAAAAUGGCAUUAUUUCAUUCUUUUUUUAUGGCUGAGUAAUUCCGUAAUGUAUAUAUGCCAUGUUUUCUUGAUCCAUUUAUCUGUUGGUGAACAUUUAGUUGCUCCAUGUCCUGGCUAUUAUCAAUGGUGCUGCCAUGAACACUGGGGUGCUUGUAUCUUUUCAAAUUAUGGUUUUCUGUGCCAGAAUGAUCCUGGCACAGAAGCAGAAAUAUAGGUCAACAGAACAGGAUAGAAAGCCCAGAAAUAAACCCAUGUACCUAUGGCCGAUUAAUCUACGAGAAAGAAGGCAAGAGUAUACAAUGGAGAAAAGACAGUCUUUUCACUAAAUGGUGCUGGGAAAAAUGGACAGCUACAUGUAAAAGAAUGAAAUUAGAACAUUUUCUAACACCAUACAUAAAAAUAAACUUGAAAUGGAUUGAAGACCUAAAUGUAAAACAGGAUACUAUAAAACUCCAUGAGGAAAACAUAGGCAGAACACUGACAUAAAUCACUGCAAUAUUUUUUUGGAUCUGUCUCAGAGAGUACUGGAAAUAAAAAUAAACAGAUGGAACCCUUUUCUUAAUGGUGUCCUUCAAAGUGCAGCUUUUUAAUAUUAAUAAAGCCCAAUAUAUUGGUUUAUUUUCAUUAUGGAUGGUGCUUUUUGCACUAUAUCUGAAAGUCUUUGCCUUAUUCAGUGUAAUAAACAUUUUGUCUUAUACUUUCUUCUAGUUUUAUAGGCUUAGUUCAUACAUUUAUGUUUAUGAUUCAUUUUUAGUUAAUUUUUAUAUGUUUGUGAGGUCAGGGUCUACAUUUAAUAUAUUUCUUUGUAUGUGCAUACCCAAUGAUCUCAGCACCAUUUUUUGAGAAAACCAGCCUUUCCACAUUAGAUUGUGUUGGCAUCUUUGUUAAAAUGUAAGAGUUUAUUUCUGGAACCUUUUUUUGCAUUGAUCUAUAUGUCUAUCCUUAUGUUAGUACCACAGUCUUGAUUACUAUGGCUGUAGAGUAUGUUGUGAAAUUAGCUAGGGUAAAUCAUCUAAAUUUGUUCAUUUUCAAAAUUGUUUUGGCUAUUCUAUAUCCUUUACUUUUCCAUAAAGAUUUUGGGAUCAACUUCUAAAUUUCUGUAAAAAAAAUCCUACUGGGAUUUUGAUGAGGAUUGAAUUGAAGUUAUACACUGAUUUGGCAAUAUUGAGUCUUCUAUAUGAACGUGAGAAAUCUUUCCAUUUAUUUAGAUUUUCUUUACUUUCUUUUAGCAAUUAUAGUUUUUUUGGGUGGGGAGGGAGGCUUUAUUGUAAUUUUCAGUGUGUAAGUUUUAUAGUUCUUUUGUUAAAGUAAUUCUUAAAUUUUUUUUAUGUCAUUGUGAAUAGAACUGUUUUCAUUUCAUCUUUAGACUGCUGAUUGCCUAUAGAAAUAAAAUUAAUUUUUAUGUGUUGAGUUUGAACCCUGUGACUU